UACGUAGGGGGCAAGCGUUGUCCGGAUUUAUUGGGCGUAAAGAGCGUGUAGGCGGCCAGACAGGUCAGCUGUGAAAACUCGAGGCUCAACCUCGAGACGUCGGUUGAAACCGUUUGGCUAGAGUCCGGAAGAGGAGAGUGGAAUUCCCGGUGUAGCGGUGAAAUGCGCAGAUAUCGGGAAGAACACCCGUGGCGAAGGCGGCUCUCUGGGACGGUACUGACGCUGAGGCGCGAAAGCGUGGGGAGCAAACAGG
This 253-nucleotide ribosomal RNA is filed under the name uncultured bacterium. RNAcentral's name for it is "partial 16S ribosomal RNA". It matches the Rfam family "Bacterial small subunit ribosomal RNA", at positions 524 to 776 of the family's 1533-position model. The record is from RNAcentral.